GGCCGGGUCUGGCGGUCGUCCUCUGGAUGUACUGCCGGCCUGGUCUUUCUUUCUGGGGAACUUAUGUGCACUUUAUUGUGUGUGUAAGGGAUCCAGGACUUUUACUUUGAAAAAAUUAGAGUGUUUAAAGCGGGCUUUUGCUUGAAUACAUUAGCAUGGAAUAAUAGAAUAGGACUUUGGUUCUAUUUUGUUGGUUUCUAGGGCCGAAGUA
RNAcentral lists this ribosomal RNA (211 nucleotides) under uncultured fungus. RNAcentral's name for it is "partial small subunit ribosomal RNA". The stretch from base 30 to 211 matches the Rfam family "Eukaryotic small subunit ribosomal RNA", at positions 677 to 864 of the family's 1831-position model. The record is from RNAcentral. Lineage: Eukaryota; Fungi.